This is a long non-coding RNA of Phoenix dactylifera (date palm), 1054 nucleotides long. RefSeq lists it as uncharacterized. NCBI's taxonomy places the organism in Eukaryota, Viridiplantae, Streptophyta, Magnoliopsida, Arecales, Arecaceae. The record is from RefSeq and is a predicted model, not a curated record.
UUGGAAGCAUUAGUGCACUACUGCGAUGUUUUAGAAAGCAUUGUCGGAGGUCUAAUCAUCUUUCGCCUAAUUUUUCUUCGAAAUGAUACUUUACAGAGCAUCGCCGGAGGCUUAGCAAAUGAAGAGGAUGCUUUACAAAGCAUCUUUGGAGAACCAGCCGAAUACUUAAUGAUACCCCCUCUCCUCGAUUCCAACCCCUUUCUCUCUCUCUCUAUCUCCCCCUCUCUCUCUCAGAGAAAAUCCCUAACCUCUUCCGCCAUCAUCCCAGCCCCCUCACCCGACCCCUUCCUCCUCGAUCCCAAGCCCCCCUAUUCCCCGAUCCCAGCCUCUGUUCCUUCCCGAUCCCAACCCCUUCCUCCCCGAUCUCUCUCUCUCUCACACACACACAGAGAAGAAUCCCUAACUCUUUCUAUAGGAGAAGGCUAGGGUUUUCGUGGGGGAGAAGGCGAAGCGGUCGCAGGAGCUAACAAUUGGGGCCACCAAGUUCUCCCAGGAGUUCGUCUCCGAGACCGCCAAGAAGUCUAAGGAGCUCGCUGUCGAGGCCACCAAGAAGGUCGACCUCAUCUGCUCUGAGGCCCUCCGCGCUGCCAACAAGAUCAAGACCCUCACCGUCGACAUCCCUAGCCUUCCUAUCUCCCCCGGGCAGAUCCGUCGUGCCGGACUUGGCCUGGGAUCUCGAGUGGUUGGGCAUCACCGAUGAGCUCAGGAAGUUCGUCAAGGGCAUCACCCUCAGCACCUUCCGUGAUUUCCCCAUGGAAGUUUUGUCACAAUGACAAUCUUAUAAGAAAGAAGAUGAAGACCAAGAUGAAGAUGAAGACUGCGGUCUCGAAGAUUGCAAAGAAGCUACUACAGUCGAGGAAUGCUUUCAUUUUUACUGUAAUUUUUAAAUAUAUAAUUUGUAAAAAAAGCAACAAUAAAUUGGGCAUUUGUUAUUGUUUCUAUGUUAUUUCUUUUUUAAUUUUAUUUUUUUUAUUUAUCUUAUGCUAUUAGAAGAAGCAAAAUCAGACGGAACCAGUAAUGAAGAAUGAAAAUUGGACUUUUUUCUUUAAAUUAA